This 253-nucleotide ribosomal RNA is filed under the name uncultured bacterium. Its description in RNAcentral is "partial 16S ribosomal RNA". It matches the Rfam family "Bacterial small subunit ribosomal RNA", at positions 524 to 776 of the family's 1533-position model. The record is from RNAcentral.
GACGGGGGGCGCAAGCGUUAUUCGGAAUUAUUGGGCGUAAAGGGCGCGUAGGCGGUUGAAUAAGUCAGAUGUGAAAGCCCUUGGCUUAACCAAGGAAGUGCAUUUGAUACUAUUUGACUUGAGUAUGGGAGAGGGAAGUGGAAUUCCUGGUGUAGAGGUGAAAUUCGUAGAUAUCAGGAGGAACACCGGUGGCGAAAGCGACUUCCUGGACCAAUACUGACGCUGAGGCGCGAAGGCGUGGGGAGCAAACAGG